Molecule: long non-coding RNA, 949 nt
Filed under: Olea europaea subsp. europaea
Lineage: Eukaryota; Viridiplantae; Streptophyta; Magnoliopsida; Lamiales; Oleaceae
Source: RNAcentral
CUCCACAUCUGUACUAAAGAAGAGGUUGUUGCCCCUACACUGCUUCACAACAUCCUCAAGGCCUGGCUCAUAAAGGGGGAGCUGAUUGCUAUUCCAGGCACUGAUACGAGGAAUAGAAAUGUCAAUGAUGCCUACUUCAAUUUUAGGGCAUUUAAGUGCUAUGAUGGGGCCUCCAACAUAACCAGCGCCAAUACUUUACAAGACAUGUAUUGAUCUCUAAAGUCACUUCAUAUUUUAACCAGCAGAAAUUCAGAUAAGCAAUAGAAUCAGGGAGCUCUUUUAGAUCUAAACCAAUCACAUAGUUAAACAAUAAUUACAAUGUCACGGUUGGAACUCUCGUUUCUGCUUCGCCGAAACCGUGACUCGAUCAAUGUUUCAAUCCCAGCUGAAAUCAGCCGAAAUACCCCAACAAAGAAAAGAUAAAAGAGAAGGGGGAGGGAUUAAACGAUGUAAAAUAAGAAUAAGAGGAAGAAAACUGAAUUGAAUUGCUUCAAUUAACACUCAAUUUGGCAUAAAAUCACAUUACACAUGCUGGAUAAAUAUACACACAUUCGAAGUCGUGUUUUCACAAAAUGAACAGUAAAAGAACGAUUAUAACUUAACUAAAGAGUAGAAACUAGAAAUCAUAUAUGAAAACUUCAAAUCCCAAAAAAAAGCGUGUAACAAAAAUUAAAUGAACAGUGAAAAUUUUAAUAAACUUCUUGCCUUCUCCAAUGUUUAAUCAGUUUGAUGGUUCCAAAGUCAAACUUCUAAAAAGCAUUAACAACUAACAACCCACCGGCCCACUACAAAGAAAAAUCCAAGUCUGAAAUUCUAAAAUCCCAAGAAAAUCACUUGAUUCACCUGACGAGUCAAGCCUCACGGUCACGAACUCACGACGUCGACGGUGACUCGUGGUUGUGGUCCUUGUGGAGGAGAUUGGGAAGGAAGUGAGGAAUCGUGACCGUCG